GAUGAACGCUGGCGGCGUGCCUAAUACAUGCAAGUCGAGCGAACAGAUGAGGAGCUUGCUCCUCUGACGUUAGCGGCGGACGGGUGAGUAACACGUGGAUAACCUACCUAUAAGACUGGGAUAACUUCGGGAAACCGGAGCUAAUACCGGAUAAUAUAUUGAACCGCAUGGUUCAAUAGUGAAAGACGGUUUUGCUGUCACUUAUAGAUGGAUCCGCGCCGCAUUAGCUAGUUGGUAAGGUAACGGCUUACCAAGGCAACGAUGCGUAGCCGACCUGAGAGGGUGAUCGGCCACACUGGAACUGAGACACGGUCCAGACUCCUACGGGAGGCAGCAGUAGGGAAUCUUCCGCAAUGGGCGAAAGCCUGACGGAGCAACGCCGCGUGAGUGAUGAAGGUCUUCGGAUUGUAAAACUCUGUUAUUGGGGAAGAACAAAUGUGUAAGUAACUAUGCACGUCUUGACGGUACCUAAUCAGAAAGCCACGGCUAACUACGUG
RNAcentral lists this ribosomal RNA (497 nucleotides) under uncultured bacterium. RNAcentral describes it as "partial 16S ribosomal RNA". It matches the Rfam family "Bacterial small subunit ribosomal RNA", at positions 28 to 507 of the family's 1533-position model. The record is from RNAcentral.